This 370-nucleotide ribosomal RNA is filed under the name uncultured bacterium. Its description in RNAcentral is "bacterial SSU rRNA". It matches the Rfam family "Bacterial small subunit ribosomal RNA", at positions 354 to 741 of the family's 1533-position model. The record is from RNAcentral.
GUGGGGAAUAUUGGACAAUGGGCGCAAGCCUGAUCCAGCCAUGCCGCGUGAGUGAUGAAGGCCCUAGGGUUGUAAAGCUCUUUCACCGGAGAAGAUAAUGACGGUAUCCGGAGAAGAAGCCCAGGCUAACUUCGUGCCAGCAGCCGCGGUAAUACGAAGGGGGCUAGCGUUGUUCGGAAUUACUGGGCGUAAAGCGCACGUAGGCGGUUAUUUAAGUCAGGGGUGAAAUCCCAGAGCUCAACUCUGGAACUGCCUUUGAUACUGGGUACCUAGAGUGUGGAAGAGGUGAGUGGAAUUCCGAGUGUAGAGGUGAAAUUCGUACAUAUUCGGAGGAACACCAGUGGCGAAGGCGGCUCACUGGUCCACUACU